CCAUUUUCAGCUCAGUUUCAUAAAUCUGGAAACAUCCUACCGUUUAUCUCUUAUUUAGACCAAUUGACUUCGGGAAAGGGGAGGAGCAAGGGGGCCAUUGCAAAACGACCCCAAUAAACAUUGGGUGUUAAUUUACAGGUUGAAAGAUGUGGAACGCUCGGGUUAAAGCAGUCUACAUACUGCUGGAAAAGGUGGAAAUUGUUAGAGGAAUGCAAGGAGCUGAUUCCCCAAAGUCGACUUCAGGGGGCACUCAUGUCUGAGGUACCAAAUGCGGUCCCAUCUGUUCCAUUCAACG
Long non-coding RNA from Amblyraja radiata (thorny skate), 295 nucleotides. RefSeq lists it as uncharacterized. Lineage: Eukaryota; Metazoa; Chordata; Chondrichthyes; Rajiformes; Rajidae. The record is from RefSeq and is a predicted model, not a curated record. The transcript has 3 exons.